AAUUGCCUACGGGGCGCAGCAGUGAGGAAUAUUGGUCAAUGGUCGGGAGACUGAACCAGCCAAGCCGCGUGAGGGAGGAAGGUACAGAGUAUCGUAAACCUCUUUUGUCAGGGAACAAAGACUGGGACGCGUCCCCGGAUGAGUGUACCUGAAGAAAAAGCAUCGGCUAACUCCGUGCCAGCAGCCGCGGUAAUACGAAGGAUGCGAGCGUUAUCCGGUUUUAUUGGGUUUAAAGGGAGCGCAGGCGGUCUGUUAAGUCAGCGGUCAAGGCCCGGGGCUCAACCCCGGCCCGCCGUUGAAACUGG
RNAcentral lists this ribosomal RNA (305 nucleotides) under uncultured bacterium. RNAcentral describes it as "bacterial SSU rRNA". It matches the Rfam family "Bacterial small subunit ribosomal RNA", at positions 333 to 636 of the family's 1533-position model. The record is from RNAcentral.